Molecule: long non-coding RNA, 1030 nt
Organism: Carlito syrichta (Philippine tarsier)
Lineage: Eukaryota; Metazoa; Chordata; Mammalia; Primates; Tarsiidae
Exons: 2
Source: RefSeq, a predicted model, not a curated record
GUGUGUGUGUGUGUGUGUGUGUGUGUGUGAGAUUCGUUCUGGAUUUUCAAAAUUUUGAGCAAUCAAUUGUUUUCCAUUCCCCAGGCUUUUUCUCCUCCGUGACAGCCAGAGUAAUCCAAAGGCAUUUGUACUCACACUGUGUCAUCACCAGAAAAUUAAAAAUUUCCAGAUUUUACCAUGUGAGGACGAUGGGCAGACGUUCUUCAGCCUGGAUGACGGGAACACCAAAUUCUCCGACCUGAUCCAGCUGGUCGACUUCUACCAGCUGAACAAAGGAGUCCUGCCUUGCAAACUCAAGCACCACUGUAUCCGAGUGGCCUUAUGACCUCAGAUGUGCUCUCAGCUGAAGCCUGGAGGAAGCUAACACUGGAAUGAAGAAGAGGUCUGUACAUUGGUGAAGAGUAAACGUCUGUCUGCACCCGGGGACUCGGAGGGAGACGGUUUGUUUGGUGCCGAUCGACCAAGGUUGACUUGUGUUUGGACUUAAUAACAAUUUGUUGCUGAGGAAACAGCAGGACCGCCUCCCUCCGUGUCUGCCAAAUUGGGGAGGGCACAGAAGAUCCAGCGCAAAUUUGAGAAUAAACUGGAAUGAUCAUCUUGGCUGGGCCACUUCGGAACAAGAACCAGACAGAAGUGAUUGGAAGUGAACUCUUGCCCUGGAAUAAUCUUGACAAUUAAAACUGAUAUGUUUACUUUUUUGUAUUGAUCACUUUUUUGCACUCCUUCUUUGUUUUCAAUAUUGUACUCAGCCUAUGAGAGGAGGGAAAUGUGGCUUUUCAACUCAUGUAAGACAAAGAGUUUCAUGUGGGCAGACUUCAGACCGAAUGCGAGUCCCCAAGUGUUUCCAGAGGGUGAUCACACUCUCUGCCGUGACCACAGUGAGGACUCAGCUCCCAUGUUACAAAUCACCCGGCCCUUCCCAGUAUACUUGAAAAGCUUUUUGUUAAAAUAAAAGGUGUCAGCUGUGGCAGGCAUUUGGCAUGUUUUGUGGACUCAGCCAAGCAACCACAGUCUGUUCCUCGUUUCUCUA